RNAcentral lists this ribosomal RNA (1444 nucleotides) under uncultured organism. RNAcentral describes it as "SSU rRNA". It matches the Rfam family "Bacterial small subunit ribosomal RNA". The record is from RNAcentral.
CUACAGGCUUAACACAUGCAAGUCGAGGGGCAGCAUGGUCUUAGCUUGCUAAGGCCGAUGGCGACCGGCGCACGGGUGAGUAACACGUAUCCAACCUGCCGUCUACUCUUGGACAGCCUUCUGAAAGGAAGAUUAAUACAAGAUGGCAUCAUGAGUCCGCAUGUUCACAUGAUUAAAGGUAUUCCGGUAGACGAUGGGGAUGCGUUCCAUUAGAUAGUAGGCGGGGUAACGGCCCACCUAGUCUUCGAUGGAUAGGGGUUCUGAGAGGAAGGUCCCCCACAUUGGAACUGAGACACGGUCCAAACUCCUACGGGAGGCAGCAGUGAGGAAUAUUGGUCAAUGGGCGAGAGCCUGAACCAGCCAAGUAGCGUGAAGGAUGACUGCCCUAUGGGUUGUAAACUUCUUUUAUAAAGGAAUAAAGUCGGGUAUGCAUACCCGUUUGCAUGUACUUUAUGAAUAAGGAUCGGCUAACUCCGUGCCAGCAGCCGCGGUAAUACGGAGGAUCCGAGCGUUAUCCGGAUUUAUUGGGUUUAAAGGGAGCGUAGAUGGAUGUUUAAGUCAGUUGUGAAAGUUUGCGGCUCAACCGUAAAAUUGCAGUUGAUACUGGAUAUCUUAAGUGCAGUUGAGGCAGGCGGAAUUCGUGGUGUAGCGGUGAAAUGCUUAGAUAUCACGAAGAACUCCGAUUGCGAAGGCAGCCUGCUAAGCUGCAACUGACAUUGAGGCUCGAAAGUGUGGGUAUCAAACAGGAUUAGAUACCCUGGUAGUCCACACGGUAAACGAUGAAUACUCGCUGUUUGCGAUAUACAGCAAGCGGCCAAGCGAAAGCGUUAAGUAUUCCACCUGGGGAGUACGCCGGCAACGGUGAAACUCAAAGGAAUUGACGGGGGCCCGCACAAGCGGAGGAACAUGUGGUUUAAUUCGAUGAUACGCGAGGAACCUUACCCGGGCUUAAAUUGCAGAUGAAUUACGGUGAAAGCCGUAAGCCGCAAGGCAUCUGUGAAGGUGCUGCAUGGUUGUCGUCAGCUCGUGCCGUGAGGUGUCGGCUUAAGUGCCAUAACGAGCGCAACCCUUGUUGUCAGUUACUAACAGGUUCCGCUGAGGACUCUGACAAGACUGCCAUCGUAAGAUGUGAGGAAGGUGGGGAUGACGUCAAAUCAGCACGGCCCUUACGUCCGGGGCUACACACGUGUUACAAUGGGGGGUACAGAGGGCCGCUACCACGCGAGUGGAUGCCAAUCCCAAAAACCUCUCUCAGUUCGGACUGGAGUCUGCAACCCGACUCCACGAAGCUGGAUUCGCUAGUAAUCGCGCAUCAGCCACGGCGCGGUGAAUACGUUCCCGGGCCUUGUACACACCGCCCGUCAAGCCAUGGGAGCCGGGGGUACCUGAAGUGCGUAACCGCGAGGAGCGCCCUAGGGUAAAACUGGUGACUGGGGCUAAGUAA